This 1346-nucleotide ribosomal RNA is filed under the name uncultured bacterium. Its description in RNAcentral is "bacterial SSU rRNA". It matches the Rfam family "Bacterial small subunit ribosomal RNA", at positions 28 to 1381 of the family's 1533-position model. The record is from RNAcentral.
GACGAACGCUGGCGGCGUGCUUAACACAUGCAAGUCGAACGGAAAGGCCCUGCUUUUGUGGGGUGCUCGAGUGGCGAACGGGUGAGUAACACGUGAGUAACCUGCCCUUGACUUUGGGAUAACUUCAGGAAACUGGGGCUAAUACCGGAUAGGAGCUCCUGCUGCGUGGUGGGGGUUGGAAAGUUUCGGCGGUUGGGGAUGGACUCGCGGCUUAUCAGCUUGUUGGUGGGGUAGUGGCUUACCAAGGCUUUGACGGGUAGCCGGCCUGAGAGGGUGACCGGCCACAUUGGGACUGAGAUACGGCCCAGACUCCUACGGGAGGCAGCAGUGGGGAAUAUUGCACAAUGGGCGGAAGCCUGAUGCAGCAACGCCGCGUGCGGGAUGACGGCCUUCGGGUUGUAAACCGCUUUCGCCUGUGACGAAGCGUGAGUGACGGUAAUGGGUAAAGAAGCACCGGCUAACUACGUGCCAGCAGCCGCGGUGAUACGUAGGGUGCGAGCGUUGUCCGGAUUUAUUGGGCGUAAAGGGCUCGUAGGUGGUUGAUCGCGUCGGAAGUGUAAUCUUGGGGCUUAACCCUGAGCGUGCUUUCGAUACGGGUUGACUUGAGGAAUGUAGGGGAGAAUGGAAUUCCUGGUGGAGCGGUGGAAUGCGCAGAUAUCAGGAGGAACACCAGUGGCGAAGGCGGUUCUCUGGGCCUUUCCUGACGCUGAGGAGCGAAAGCGUGGGGAGCGAACAGGCUUAGAUACCCUGGUAGUCCACGCUGUAAACGGUGGGUACUAGGUGUGGGGUCCAUUCCACGGGUUCCGUGCCGUAGCUAACGCUUUAAGUACCCCGCCUGGGGAGUACGGCCGCAGGGCUAAAACUCAAAGGAAUUGACGGGGCCCCGCACAAGCGGCGGAGCAUGCGGAUUAAUUCGAUGCAACGCGUAGAACCUUACCUGGGUUUGACAUGGAUCGGGAGUGCACAGAGAUGGGUGUGCCUCUUUUGGGGUCGGUUCACAGGUGGUGCAUGGCUGUCGUCAGCUCGUGUCGUGAGAUGUUGGGUUAAGUCCCGCAACGAGCGCAACCCUUGUUCACUGUUGCCAGCACGUUAUGGUGGGGACUCAGUGGAGACCGCCGGGGUCAACUCGGAGGAAGGUGGGGAUGACGUCAAGUCAUCAUGCCCCUUAUGUCCAGGGCUUCACGCAUGCUACAAUGGCUGGUACAGAGAGUGGCGAGCCUGUGAGGGUGAGCGAAUCUCGGAAAGCCGGUCUCAGUUCGGAUUGGGGUCUGCAACUCGACCUCAUGAAGUCGGAGUCGCUAGUAAUCGCAGAUCAGCAACGCUGCGGUGAAUACGUUCCCGGGGCU